AAGUCGUAACAAGGUCUCCGUAGGUGAACCUGCGGAGGGAUCAUUAACACGUUUUUAUUAACGUUCCCACCAAACAAAAGGAAACGAAAGAGGAGGAAAGUGAAAACGAUCCAAAUCUUAGCACAGCUCCCUACGAACGUACUAGUACAGAAGUAGGCUAUUCUUUUAUUAACCCCUUUCCAACUAGAUUUUGAGAUUUCUCAAGAUCGACUAACUUGCCCUGUAUCUAGUAGUGAAGAAUUAAUUUUAUUAAUUUAAUUAUUUCUUCUUUCACUUCUAGCUUGAUAUUUAAAUGCAAAGCACAACUCUUAGCAACGGAUAUCUUGGUUCUC
Molecule: unclassified non-coding RNA, 332 nt
Filed under: fungal sp.
Lineage: Eukaryota; Fungi
Description: partial internal transcribed spacer region
Rfam family: Eukaryotic small subunit ribosomal RNA (bases 1-46)
Source: RNAcentral